UAAAGGAUGGUCCAAAGACGCCCCCACCAGCAAAAUCAACUCACCCGAGCUAGCCCUAUUGAGGAUCUUCAAAGGCUUCAACCCGCCAGAGUGCAAGGGCGAGCCUCCACCUGGGGCCAGGGUGUCUGUGAUCACCCGUGUCCGGGCGCCAGGUAAGCUU
Molecule: small nuclear RNA, 160 nt
Filed under: Fasciola hepatica (liver fluke)
Lineage: Eukaryota; Metazoa; Platyhelminthes; Trematoda; Plagiorchiida; Fasciolidae
Description: U1 spliceosomal RNA
Source: RNAcentral